GACGAACGCUGGCGGCGUGCCUAAUACGUGCAAGUAGAACGCUGAAGCUUGGUGCUUGCACCGAGCGGAUGAGUUGCGAACGGGUGAGUAACGCGUAGGUAACCUGCCUGGUAGCGGGGGAUAACUAUUGGAAACGAUAGCUAAUACCGCAUAAGAGUAGAUGUUGCAUGACAUUUGCUUAAAAGGUGCAAUUGCAUCACUACCAGAUGGACCUGCGUUGUAUUAGCUAGUUGGUGAGGUAACGGCUCACCAAGGCAACGAUACAUAGCCGACCUGAGAGGGUGAUCGGCCACACUGGGACUGAGACACGGCCCAGACUCCUACGGGAGGCAGCAGUAGGGAAUCUUCGGCAAUGGACGGAAGUCUGACCGAGCAACGCCGCGUGAGUGAAGAAGGUUUUCGGAUCGUAAAGCUCUGUUGUAAGAGAAGAACGAGUGUGAGAGUGGAAAGUUCACACUGUGACGGUAUCUUACCAGAAAGGGACGGCUAACUACGUG
This 497-nucleotide ribosomal RNA is filed under the name uncultured bacterium. RNAcentral describes it as "partial 16S ribosomal RNA". It matches the Rfam family "Bacterial small subunit ribosomal RNA", at positions 28 to 507 of the family's 1533-position model. The record is from RNAcentral.